This 496-nucleotide ribosomal RNA is filed under the name Brachyura sp. 19140C. RNAcentral describes it as "partial large subunit ribosomal RNA". It matches the Rfam family "Archaeal large subunit ribosomal RNA", at positions 1920 to 2643 of the family's 2987-position model. The record is from RNAcentral. Lineage: Eukaryota; Metazoa; Arthropoda; Malacostraca; Decapoda.
UGUCUACAUGAGAGGUUUAUGUGGUCUGACCUGCUCACUGAGAGUUGAGCUUUAAGAGCCGCGGUAAUUUGACCGUGCAAAGGUAGCAUAAUCAAUAGUCUUCUUAAUUAGAAACUGGAAUGAAUGGUUGGACAAAAGAGCUCCUGUCUUCUUUUGUGAAAUUUGAAUUUAACUUUCAAGUGAAAAGGCUUGAAUUUAAGUAGAGGGACGAUAAGACCCUAUAAAGCUUUAUAACUAACUUAUUUUCUUAAAAAAGAAGAAAUAAAAAGAUCUUAAUAGAGUUAUUUUAUUGGGGCGAUAAAGAUAAAAUUAUUAUAACUGUUAAAAAGUCAAACACUUAUUAUUGAACUUUAAAAGAUCCUGUUUACCGAUUUUAAGACAAAGUUACUUUAGGGAUAACAGCGUUAUUUCUUUUAAAAGUUCUUAUUGAAAAAGAAGAUUGCGACCUCGAUGUUGAAUUAAAAUUUCUUUGUGGUGUAGCAGCUACUAAAAGAGG